UACGGAGGAUGCAAGCGUUAUCCGGAUUUAUUGGGCGUAAAGCGUCCGCAGGUGGCUAAUCAAGUCUGCUGUUAAAGCGCAGGGCUUAACUCUGUAACGGCGGUGGAAACUGGAUAGCUAGAGUAUGGUAGGGGUAGCGGGAAUUCCCAGUGUAGCGGUGAAAUGCGUAGAUAUUGGGAAGAACACCAGCGGCGAAAGCGCGCUACUGGGCCAUUACUGACACUCAUGGACGAAAGCUAGGGGAGCGAAAGGGAUUAGAUACCCCUGUAGUCCUAGCUGUAAACGAUGGAUACUAGGUGUUGCCCGUAUCGACCCGGGCAGUGCCGUAGCUAACGCGUUAAGUAUCCCGCCUGGGGAGU
This 359-nucleotide ribosomal RNA is filed under the name uncultured Scytolyngbya sp. RNAcentral's name for it is "bacterial SSU rRNA". It matches the Rfam family "Bacterial small subunit ribosomal RNA", at positions 524 to 881 of the family's 1533-position model. Lineage: Bacteria; Bacillati; Cyanobacteriota; Cyanophyceae; Leptolyngbyales; Leptolyngbyaceae. The record is from RNAcentral.